GACGAACGCUGGCGGCGUGCUUAACACAUGCAAGUCGAACGGAAAGGCCCUGCUUUUGUGGGGUGCUCGAGUGGCGAACGGGUGAGUAACACGUGAGUAACCUGCCCUUGACUUUGGGAUAACUUCAGGAAACUGGGGCUAAUACCGGAUAGGAGCUCCUGCUGCAUGGUGGGGGUUGGAAAGUUUCGGCGGUUGGGGAUGGACUCGCGGCUUAUCAGCUUGUUGGUGGGGUAGUGGCUUACCAAGGCUUUGACGGGUAGCCGGCCUGAGAGGGUGACCGGCCACAUUGGGACUGAGAUACGGCCCAGACUCCUACGGGAGGCAGCAGUGGGGAAUAUUGCACAAUGGGCGGAAGCCUGAUGCAGCAACGCCGCGUGCGAGAUGACGGCCUUCGGGUUGUAAACCGCUUUCGCCUGUGACGAAGCGUGAGUGACGGUAAUGGGUAAAGAAGCACCGGCUAACUACGUGCCAGCAGCCGCGGUGAUACGUAGGGUGCGAGCGUUGUCCGGAUUUAUUGGGCGUAAAGGGCUCGUAGGUGGUUGAUCGCGUCGGAAGUGUAAUCUUGGGGCUUAACCCUGAGCGUGCUUUCGAUACGGGUUGACUUGAGGAAGGUAGGGGAGAAUGGAAUUCCUGGUGGAGCGGUGGAAUGCGCAGAUAUCAGGAGGAACACCAGUGGCGAAGGCGGUUCUCUGGGCCUUUCCUGACGCUGAGGAGCGAAAGCGUGGGGAGCGAACAGGCUUAGAUACCCUGGUAGUCCACGCUGUAAACGGUGGGUACUAGGUGUGGGGUCCAUUCCACGGGUUCCGUGCCGUAGCUAACGCUUUAAGUACCCCGCCUGGGGAGUACGGCCGCAAGGCUAAAACUCAAAGGAAUUGACGGGGCCCCGCACAAGCGGCGGAGCAUGCGGAUUAAUUCGAUGCAACGCGUAGAACCUUACCUGGGUUUGACAUGGAUCGGGAGUGCUCAGAGAUGGGUGUGCCUCUUUUGGGGUCGGUUCACAGGUGGUGCAUGGCUGUCGUCAGCUCGUGUCGUGAGAUGUUGGGUUAAGUCCCGCAACGAGCGCAACCCUUGUUCACUGUUGCCAGCACGUUAUGGUGGGGACUCAGUGGAGACCGCCGGGGUCAACUCGGAGGAAGGUGGGGAUGACGUCAAGUCAUCAUGCCCCUUAUGUCCAGGGCUUCACGCAUGCUACAAUGGCUGGUACAGAGAGUGGCGAGCCUGUGAGGGUGAGCGAAUCUCGGAAAGCCGGUCUCAGUUCGGAUUGGGGUCUGCAACUCGACCUCAUGAAGUCGGAGUCGCUAGUAAUCGCAGAUCAGCAACGCUGCGGUGAAUACGUUCCCGGG
RNAcentral lists this ribosomal RNA (1343 nucleotides) under uncultured bacterium. RNAcentral describes it as "16S ribosomal RNA". It matches the Rfam family "Bacterial small subunit ribosomal RNA", at positions 28 to 1378 of the family's 1533-position model. The record is from RNAcentral.